GAUGAUUCACUCGACUUGUGGUUUUUCUUAACCCCGCCUCCCCUCCGCCGACACGAGGCCGAGGGACCACCUCUGUCAUCUACCUUCCCCCUGCCGAUCCUCCCCUCUCUCGUUUCCACGACACCUGUUGUGCCAACGAACGCGCUCGGCUGCAAAAAAUUGUUUUCGCCAACGCGCGAUGUGUCGCGUGUACGUGACUUUGCCAACCUGGCCCGACAUCGACAAACACAAUUUAUGUAUCUCUCAUACGACUUUCGCGUAUUAUAUCCUUUGCGUAACCUAUCCGUGGACUUGCACCGGUUCACGAUGGAUCACGGAAGGCCGCGCGACAAUCGAAACCGUUACGCUCGAUCGAACUUGGCCGCGUAUCACGAAAAAUGACGACGAGGGACCGAUAGGGGAUCGAUUUUCACUCGGGGACUCUCGAUUCGUUGAAAAUCCAAAGUUUGGCCGGCCGAGACAGAACGAUGGGACGUUUAACGAUUAUUGCGGAGACGAAGACGACGGAAAGACGAUCGCAACGACGAGAUGACCAACGAGGAAGCGAUGCGACGACGGCACAGUCUUUCACCACCUGCUUCCUACGACCGUUACCUUGAUACCGUCGCGAUGGACUGGGUCAAAGAGGAUCUCGUCUCUGUUGUCGACACCGGUUAAUACCGAUCCUCGCCGAUCAAUGCCGAUUCAUCGUCUAUCGUUUGUACCUGCUCUAGAGGACGUCUAUCAAAAUCAUCCAGUUUUUCGUUUCGCCUAAUUCGCC
Long non-coding RNA from Apis cerana (Asiatic honeybee), 760 nucleotides. RefSeq lists it as uncharacterized. The record is from RefSeq and is a predicted model, not a curated record. Lineage: Eukaryota; Metazoa; Arthropoda; Insecta; Hymenoptera; Apidae.